GAUGAAGAACGCAGCGAAAUGCGAUAAGUAAUGUGAAUUGCAGAAUUCAGUGAAUCAUCGAAUCUUUGAACGCACCUUGCGCCCUUUGGCCAUUCCGAAGGGCAUGCCUGUUUGAGUAUCAUGAACACCUCAACUCUUCAUGGUUUUCCAUGAUGAGCUUGGACUUUGGGGGUCUUGCUGGCCUGUGGGUCGGCUCCUCUCAAAUGAAUCAGCUUGCCGGUUUUUGGUGGGCAUCACAGAUGUGAUAACUAUCUACGCUUGUGGUUUUCCACCAGGGUAACCUUCAGCAGUGGAGGUUCACUGGAGCUUACAAAUGUCUCUCCUCUGUGAGGACAGCCCUUUGAAUGUUUGAUCUCAAAUCAGGUAGGACUACCCGCUGAACUUAAGCAUAUCAAUAAGCGGAGGA
Molecule: unclassified non-coding RNA, 406 nt
Filed under: soil metagenome
Description: partial contains 5.8S ribosomal RNA, internal transcribed spacer 2, and large subunit ribosomal RNA
Rfam family: 5.8S ribosomal RNA (bases 1-121)
Source: RNAcentral